UAAGUUUGAUACACUCUUGUUUCAAGCCUUGAAAACAGCCUCUGGCACAAAUGCAAGGUAAGGCUGCGUAUAAUGCACCCUUGUGGUGAGGUCCUUCUCCGAACCCUGCGCAUAGCGAGAGCUUUAGUGCACCGAUCUGCCUUUUUAGUUUGACUCGUUACUAUAUUUAAAUGAGUAAUGGAGAACUUUGAGACUUGUGUUUUAAACAUGUCAUAACAUAUGUCUCGUUAACUAAGGGAAGAAUGAAAGUGUUAAGUUAAAUUAUUACUACAAUAAAACAAGAAGUAACCAUGAAAUACGUCGUUGCACGUGUAUUGAAUCAUCAAAAAAUGCAUUAUUUCUGAAAGAUUUGACAUUAGUGCGACAUGACUUUUGGAGGAACAAGCAACAUAUGCUAAUGGCAAUUGGUAAAGUUAAAUUAAAUUAUUUUCAAAUAUUGAAAACAAUUAUUCUUUUUUCUAAAUAAACUUUUUUUUUUAAAUGUUGCCCCAUGAAAUAAAUUAGAUGGACCUUUUCCUUUCAAAAAUCUUGAAUGAGUAGGGGCAAAGCUACGAGAGUUUGGCAGAACUCAAUAGUUUCGAUCAAAAUUUAUGUAAUUUCUUUAAGAAAUUUACUUAAUAUAUAGAGAAAAACAUCUAGUACUCCUCUAAAUUAUGAUCAAACUUUCUAUUACGCACUUCAACUUCAUGAGGUUCUAUUACCUUCGAACUAAAUUUUAGCAUAUUUUUAGCUUGCGUGACAUCUUUUGUCAACCUUUUUAGCUGAAAUGACACUUUUAAUGUGGGCUUCGUUUUAUAUAAUAAAGGUGUAACAUCAGACAAAAGGGUGAUAAAAAUAUGCUAAAAUUGAGUUCAGAAAGGUAAAAGGCUCCCUGUGAAAUUGGAGCGUGUUGUAACAACUUUGAUCAAGCAGAUUUUUUCCUUUUAGCGUUUAAAACUCGUUAACUCAAAAUUCUGACUCCGCCUCCGAAAUUGCAGGACACAAAUAGUGCGGUGGCCACCAGUGAGAUCAUAUAGGAAGAGCACAUUACAAACUACUACAAAGAUAUUAGAAGCUCAUGAAGAUCAAUGUGGAAUUUAUGUGAAAAUUAGCAUGGAUGGAGCACCUUUUCUUAGAACAAUUGAUCUUAAAAUGUUACAAUGAGCUUUUUAAAGCAAUGGAGAAAAUGUUCAAACUUAAUGAAGGCUAUAAAGGGUCAGAAGGCAUUUUAUAAGUUAAAAAGGUUGACAAAAGGUACCACGUCAGCUAAAAAAGAUGACAAAAAUAUGCUAAAAUUUAAUUCAAAAAAGUAAUAAAAUCCCGUAAAGUUGGAAGGUGUUGUAGCAAAGUUGGUCAUAAUUUUGGUGCUAAUUAAAUGCUUUACUCUUAAAAAUAAUUACACAAUCAGGUUAUUUAUAACGUACUUGUAAAUAAAUACAUAUAAUUGAUUAACAUGUUAUAUACACGUAAGUCGCGUAAAAAAAUCUUUAUAGUGUCAACCAACCAACCAACCAACCAAGAACAAUUGUCGUCAAAAAUAAGGGAUAAGCAUUCAGUACCCCCUCGAACUAUGAUCAAAGUUGCUACGCCAUAUUCUAACUUCACAGGGGUUUUAUUAUUCCCCUAAACUCAAUUUUAGCGCAUUUAUGUGAUACUUUUAUUACAUAAAAUGAAGCCUACGUCACCCAAAAAGGUUGACAAAAUGUGUCACGUCAACAUAAAAGGGUGACAAAAAUAUGCUAAAAUUUAGUUCAGAAAGGUAAUAAAAACCCCGUGAAGCUGGAAUGUGUUGUAGCAAAUUUGAGAAUACGCUAAAAUUUAGUUCAGGAUGGUAAUAAAACUCCCAUAAAGUUGGAGCGUGUUGUAGCAAAUUUGGUACUAUAUGCUUUACUCUUAAAAAUAAUUACACAAUCAAGUCAUUUAUAAGGUAAUUGUAAAUAAAUACAUAUGAUUGACUAUAUUCAUACUAUAGAUAGUUGUUGAUCCAAUAAGAAUGAUAAUUGUUUAACAUGUUAUAUACGUAAGUUGCAUAAAAAAUCUUUAUAGUGUCGAUGUAUAGUUGGAGACGUUCCUUGGAAGUAAGUUCUUGAAUCUUGAACAACCAAGGGCGUUGAGUAUUACGUGCGGGUUCUCGGGCAGUGGCGGAGCCAAGAUUUUAAUUGAGGGAGUUCAUAAGUAAAUAUAUGAACCAGUCGAAGGGGAUUCAGCCUCUACUAUAUAUGAAUAAAUAAUAUAUACAACUAUGUAAAAAUAGUAUAAUUUUCCGUCAAAGGAGAUUCGGAUGAACCCCUGAAACACAUGUGGCUCCGCCCCUGUUCCGUCAAAGGGGGUUAUAUACUAUCGAUGUAUAUAACUUAAUGAAUUUUUUUUUUCAUGACUAUAGCAGAAUGUUUAUGGUAUAAUGCAAAAGGUUGAGGAUAAUUAUUGUAAUCAAUCAAACAGAAAAAAAGAUACUUAGUAACUAUAAUUAGUUCUUUUAAAAAUAUAUAUAUAAUCACAGCGACAACAACAUUUUUGAUGUAUUCCCACAUAGUGGGGUCUGGAGAGGGUUGAGUAUACGCAGACCAUACCACUAACUCAGGUAAAGUAGAGAGGUUGUUUCCGAUAGACCCCCUCAGCUUAGGAUCAAUAACAGUAUAACAAACACAAAAGAUAAGUGCAUAUAAACUAGUACGGUAUGUAAAAUAAACGAACAAUAUAACAAACACAAAAGAUAAGUGCAUAUAAACUAGUACGGUAUGUAAAAUAAACUAACAUCGCUAACCACAAGAUAAUACUACAGCCACAACACCACGAACAAGAAACUCCAGACACAAAAGAACGCUCCCCAACUAUUACCGACGCACUCCCACUCCCUAACCCUCUACCCUAAUCCGCGUCCUCCACACCUUCCUAUCAAGGGUCGUGUCCUCCGUAAGCUGUAAGUGCUCCAUAUCAUGCUUAAUCACAAAAUAUUUAGAAAUCAGUAGUCCAAUUAAUUCAGAUUCACGUCGUGUUUUGAAGGUGCAACACUCCCUAUAAUAUAACAACUAUUGAUACUUGGUAUAUUGAACUAAAUUAAACUAUUUUUAAUGUAAAAUAAUACACAAAUUUGGAAUUAUAAUGAUUUCUUUAUUACUUCAUAAUUUCUUCAAUGAUUUUUUUUGGUAAAUUAGAUAUGCCUAAUAAAACAUAUAUGGCUUGUUAUAAUUGAAGUUAGAAAAAACUUGCAAACACACAUAUGUGGCUUGCUACCCAACUAAUUAACAUUAUGAUUUGUUGUAAUUUCAAAAUAUAUGAGGUAACAAGAAGUAAUUAACUAAUUAAUUGGCAGAUUGUUGCUUUAAAAUAUCAUGAAUCACCAAACUUCUUUUUUUUUUUACUUAUACGUCACACAAAGAUAAUUUUAUCGUUGCGUCCAUGCUCCCGCUCAGAUAGACAAACUAUGAAAAAGAAUUGGAAGAAUAGUCCUUUAACUUGACCUCAGUUUCAUUUAUGCCCUCCAAUUUUGUAUGUGUACAAGUAGAUAUUUAAACUCGUAUAGAGUUGAACAAAUAGAUAAAUGCGUCUUACGUUGUAAUACCGCGUCCCAUGUGUAUUAUACCACGUAGGGCGAGCGUAUCUACUUAUUCAUUUCUAUAUAAGUUUCAGUGCCUUAUUUGUGCACAUCUCAAGUUGGAGGGCAUCGAUACAAGCUGACACCAAUUUAACAAAUGAUUUUAAGUCAGGUUCAACAAAUGUUUUUAAGUUGAGCGCAUACUGUGAUUUGUAAGUCGUCAACAACAACAACAACAACAUAUUCAGUGAAAUCCCACAAGUAAAAUCUGGUCUGUCCAGAGAAGGCAGAGUGUACGUAGACUUUACCAUUACUUCAUGAUGGUAGAGAUGUUGUUUUCGAAAGACCAUCGACUCAAGUCGAGGUCUACAAAUAUUUAUAAGUUGGAGUAAAGAGUCUCACUUUAAGGGGUAUGGUAUUGUCACGAUUUGAACCAUGGCCUAGUCGUGACGGAUAUUUCAAGCGUACCAUGGACCUGAGACCACUUCCUUAGCCAACCCUUAAGAGUAUAAUAACCAUAAUAAACAGCGGAAGAUAGACAAAUCAUAACAAGAUAGAUAGGACAACUCGAAUGGAAUCUAAGAGUCAAAACAAUAACCAAUCUCAUAUUUGUCCACAAAAGCUUCUACAAUACCACAAUAUCAAAUUAGGUCGGGACAUGCCCCCAACCUUGACCAAAAGAAUCCAAAGUAAGAUACUAAAGAAACAUAAUGAAACUAAAGAAAUGACAGGCCUUCCGGAAGAUGGAGUCUCACCACUUCAAAGCAGACCAACCGACGAACCGUAUCAUCUAACAUUGCACACGACAAAUAGAAAAUUCCUAGAAUCCUAUAUCAUGAAACGAUGCAGCGUCCGGAGACGGUUAGUGGGAUGAGCACUAGCAUGUCACUCGGGAAAAGGAUAAAAUAAUGCCAUGUCCAAAUUCAAUCAAAACCACGUGUACAUGUUCACAUACAUACAUACAUACAUAUGUAUAUAUAUAUAUAUAUAUAUAUAUAUAUAUAAGAUGCCGGGAUAGGAAUCAGGGUUAUAAACAUGAGGGCUUAAAACCAUUAACCUGACUGUGUAGUUCUAUCCGUCUUAAGGGCACCCACGGACUAUAUGGGUUCAACUCUCCCUGCUGAAAGGGCCCAGUGCGUAUAGCCACACGAAUCAGGGAAAUCCAAGGAAGGGCCAAAGCCACCGAAGCUCCAACCAUUUCAAUAAGAUAUAUAAUGUGUGAACUAUGCACACGGUCAUAUAUAUUCCCCUCUCCGACAAACAUGGUUUUUUCAAUAUCAGUCCCCCCGGGACCUCCACCUUCACGGCGAGCUACACAACCCCUAUUAAGUCCAAAUUAAAAUAUUUGCACAUAAUUUCAAUCCGUUAACCCCAGGAGUCAUUCGUUACCAUUGGUCUCGUCAUAGCAAUUAUAUUAUGCUUGCAAGCUAACCAUUCAUUUCAUUCCAAAAUCAAUUAUCCAAUUUGACUCCCAAAUUUCAAUUUAAAACCAAACCAUGGCCACCAAGGUCUUUCAAAAUCGUUUUAUGUUCCAUUAACCUCUUAUGCAAUGCAAAUUUCCAAGAGUAAGUUAAAUUCAUGUAUAUAUCCAUGUUUCAAAACUUAAUUACAAAAGUAGGUUGAGGAUAAUACCAAUUCCAAAUCAAAAUCUAUCCAAUUGGGGAAAUCUACGACCCCAUUCCAUCCACCAUACCCAUGCACCCAAUUAGUUUCAAAUUUUUUUUAUCAAAUAAAGCAUAAGCAAUUCAUUUAAACCAUGAAAUCCAAUUCAAGCAAUAACCAUCCAAAAACCCUCGACCCAAUUGCAAAUCGAACCUUUAAAUCACAUGGAUAAUAAUAAAAAACACAUGCUUUAUAAAAAUUAAGUUAGGGAUGAGAGAUAUAUCUGGAUACCGAAGAUAUUUGGAGAGGAAAUCACAAUUUGAACCCUGGAUGCUUAAUCCCUUGAAACCCUAGCUUGUUUUUGACUUUGAUGUUUGAGAGGAGUGACGAGAGGUUUUUGAUUUGAUAAAAGUCGAAAAAGGACCCUUAGGGUGUUUUGAGGUCGUGGGAAUAGUGUUAAGGAGUGAAAAGACCAAUUUGUCCUUAAUUAAAAUGGGCAGGAAAAGGGCUCCCAGUCGCUAUGGGUCGGGUAACGACUCAUGAUGACAGGUCACGAGUCGUUGCCUGAGCAGAAACUUUGGGCAAUCACACUGACAUGACCAUGAGUCGUACAUCACGACUUGUUACCAAACUCCACGACUCGUGACG
RNAcentral lists this long non-coding RNA (5764 nucleotides) under Capsicum annuum. RNAcentral describes it as "long non-coding RNA (CANN_LNC007518)". Lineage: Eukaryota; Viridiplantae; Streptophyta; Magnoliopsida; Solanales; Solanaceae. The record is from RNAcentral.